GUCCCAAUUUGCUGUGAUGUCUUGAAUCUUGUCCUUUUUCCUGUAAUCUGAUUCUAGAACUCAUGAUAAGUAGUUUUUAAAAUAAAUUGUCCUUUGCUGAUUAUUUCAGGGCUUGUUGAUGUAGGAAACUCGGGACUGAGUCCCUUGGGGUGGAACACAGGCAAAGUGAAAACUAUAAUACUUAUUUCUCCUGGAGCCUCGGAAUGUCAAACUUGAAAAGCAGCCUGGACUCUUGGUCUUUUUUGAUUUGAAAUGUUGAAAGCAAAAUAAAAAUAUCCUCAAGGACUUUCUGUUGUUCCAAAUAUAAGCUUAAUGAGUUUUGAAAUUCUAUAUCAGAAAAUGUCUUGUUUUAUGGGGGAAAGACUUAGUUUUCAGCUUUAAUAUAGCUUGAUGAUUUUUUUUUUUUGCUGUGUAAUGCCUUCACCUUACCACCGGGAAACAGUUUUGUGAAAGCCAGAAGAAAAGGACUUAGAAUUUUAAAAAAGUAUUUGAGGUAGCUUUCCUAAAAGUGAAUCUAAAAAUAAAGUUAAGUAGAU
This 536-nucleotide long non-coding RNA is filed under the name Bos taurus (domestic cattle). RNAcentral's name for it is "long non-coding RNA NONBTAT024636". Lineage: Eukaryota; Metazoa; Chordata; Mammalia; Artiodactyla; Bovidae. The record is from RNAcentral.